UGCUUAGACGAAGUCACACACUCGCGGAGGGAAGUAAUCUGAAGGCUGCUGUGGAUCUUGGAUAAGUGGCAUCCUAUGAAGAUGUGAACAAUGAAAUAAUAAGGACUCUCAGGGCUAAAGAAGACGGAAAAGCGUGCUCAGAAGAGUCCCAAGAUUGAAGUGAUACACUGAUUUGGUUCCUUGUGGCCUCUUUGUCAGAGACUAUCCUGAGUUCCUCACCAUGUGAGUCUCUUCCACAUUACAUCUUACCUCAUCGAUGUGAGCAA
Long non-coding RNA from Lynx canadensis (Canada lynx), 266 nucleotides. RefSeq lists it as uncharacterized. NCBI's taxonomy places the organism in Eukaryota, Metazoa, Chordata, Mammalia, Carnivora, Felidae. The transcript is spliced from 3 exons. The record is from RefSeq and is a predicted model, not a curated record.